Molecule: RNA transcript, 4524 nt
Organism: Folsomia candida
Lineage: Eukaryota; Metazoa; Arthropoda; Collembola; Entomobryomorpha; Isotomidae
Gene: omd
Gene name: integrator complex subunit 5
Exons: 9
Source: RefSeq, a predicted model, not a curated record
CAAUGAACAUUUUUAUUUGUGUUCAAAAAAUUCACAAAUUUUAAUAUUUUUAAAUACAAUUAAAAACUACAAUUAAAAAUGCUUCAAAAAACGAAGUGCGUACUUUUGGGUGUGGUUUGAUUCUGUUCUCGGGCGGUGAGUGAUUUUUUUUGGACGAGCAGUUUACAAGUGUUAGUUUAAUUGGUGGAAUCAUCAACAAUGUCCUUCCUCGAUAAGUUCCCAUCGAAUCCCUCCCCCGAAGAAACGUUAGCUCAGCUUCAACGUUUCCUCGGAAGGAACUCAUCCCUUCAACCGGCCUCCUCCAGCGCGAUGUCGAAUAACAAAGGAAUCAAGGGCAAAAUUAAAAAGUCCACGAUUCCAGAAGAGCUGAGCAUGCAGGAUUUGACGCACUUGGGAAUGUGGCUUAUCAGACAUCUCCCCGUUUCGAGGGACUCCGUAUUUGAAUUUAUUUCCAGCACGUACAGCCAAUUUGUGAAGGAAUACAUUAUCCAACAGCAGGGAAAUGUUUCUUCUUGUACCGACGACGAUUUAAAACUACUUGACGACAUUCACGAAGCGUUCCUAACUUUUUUGAAAGCAAAUGGUGAAAUUUGGGCCCCCAUCCUGUCAACUUGGACGCUUCAUCUGCUUGGACAAUUGUCGAAAGACUACAGCCACCAGAUUGCCUUCACACAUGGAGCACAACUGCAGAAUGUUAAUGACACGAUUCGUUUCUGGAUGGGGUCAAAGGCUAUUCAGAGUUUGAUGGAUUUGACGGCCCGUUGUCUCACGUGUCGUGAUCAUGCGAAUGCGGAUACUUUCAUUUCUGCAUUAAUUGAUACCAGCACAAUUCACAGUCCCCGUUUCGAUUGGGUUGUCGCACACGUUGGGAACACGUACCCUCAAACGAUUGUCUCGCAAGUUUUGAAUCUUGGAUUUCAGCACUUUUCCGUAAAUUCACCCAUGGCGUCGGUAAAACUAAACUCGGUCCGAGCAAUUCUCGAGCAUUUGGUUGGAACUCAUGCGAAAGAAGUGCAGCAAGCGUUUGACCAAACGAUUCAACAAGGAUUGACGGACAAUAGUUUGAACAUGGUUAUUCUCUACGUGAUGACGAUGUGCUCGAAUUCCAUGCCCCUUCUCGACGUUCUGAUGGACACCGUGUUUCCCCGACUUAAUGAAGAAACGCUGCUAAAACUUCGUACCAUUGUGCCUAAAUGGAUCCAGAUUCACUUUGGAGGUCGUGAGGUGGCUGCCGUGGCGUUAGUGACGCAUUUGAUCAUGAAAAGUUCACGGGGUCCGAGAGCACUGGAAAUUCUGAUGAAAGGUUGCAAAGAAUGGGUGCCCCCGAUCGGAAUAUAUGCACGGACUCUCUUGGAUCACUUUAUUGCCGAAGCCUCCAGCAUGUUUUACGGCUCCGACUCUCCCAGAAAAGGCCUCGCCACAAACUUCCCCGCCUUCCCCGCAAUGAAGGACAACUCCUCCAUCAUCAUAAACUUCUUAACCGACACUGACCCCCAGAUAGCUCGCGCAGCCAAACAAUUCGUCAAAAUCCUCUCCAUGUAUGACGGCGCCGCCGUCGGAGUGAAGGCAAUCUGCCACUAUCUCAACCAUUCUACCGACGACGUCCACCGCUGGCACAUGGUCGACCUGAUCGCCAUGCUCGAAAUGAAGUAUUCCAACCUUCUCACCGACACCCUACAAAUUUUAGCCAUCCGCUCCUCCAACUCAGACAAAGCCAAGAUCUCCGACAAACUACGAAAAUGGGACAACAUUUUAAAACUUGUGAAAAGUGAGCGUGAAACUAAAAUCAAACUUCCCAUCCGACAAAAGAUGAGUGUCGUCCUGCAAGAAAACUUGUGGAUUUUGACGCCCUUAAUGGACGUUCGAAAACUUGGUUUUUGUCUCGACGAGGCCGGAAUUGUGAUUGAAAUUCUCUCCAAACUUCCCGAACUUAAGAACAAUUCCAAAUUUGGGACACGUCUCGCCCUGCAGCGACACUUGGUCGAAUUUCUCUUCAAAGUUUUAGCCCUUCCGGCAUCAUCAAAUCCGACGCAGAAGGUGAAAAAUGUGACAAACGUUUCCAAACUUUUGUACGAACUGGCGGAAAAUCCAGCCAUUCAGAACGAUUCGCUGAGAAGUUUGGUGCAAUACAGUUUGUAUCCGGAGUGCAAACAGCUCUUUAUGAAAAGAGUGAUUGGGAAUCCGAAACUGAAUUACUCCGCGUUCGAUUACGACUGCAUCGACCCGACCGGAAGUGGACACAGCGAUAAUGAAUUUCAACGCGGCAAGUUUUCCAUGUAUGUGUCGCUCAUGGAGGAAAAUCAGAGCAGAAGUUCCGUCCUGAAUAUUGCCGGGUCUCACGCGACCACCUUUCAUUCCGGGAAACUGCUGAAGAACGGGAUAAAAAAUUGGAGCGCCAUGCCGAAAGUUGUGAUUACGGAGAAUGAAGACGCGUACUUGAAUUUUGAGCUGUUUUUAUACGUGCUGAUGAAUGUUUGUAUGGCGGUGCCGUCAGGGGGGAAUGUUGGGGAGGGGUUUGAUGUCGGGUUGAGUGUGAAGGAUGUCGGGCAGGUCGUGUCGGUGGAGGCGAUGAAGAAGGUUGCUCUGCUGCUGGUGGAGAUUGUAUCACCGGAUGUUAUGUUUAACGGGUUGCCGUGGCCGGAAGAGGAAUUUUCGAAGGUUCAAGUGGAGCGAGAUUUACAAAUCCGACGUGCAUUUGAAGAUCAUCCAUACUUGUGGGAUUUGCUCGAGCUCGUAGCAAAUCAUUGCCCAUCUCUGUGCUAUUGUUCCGUUUUGUUAAGAGCACUAAUGGCGACGUUAAUGGCACAUUGGACAUCUUGUCAGGAAGCUCCAGCCAAAAAUUCGCCAAAUCAGUUGGAAUGGACCAUUCGUCUGUUGCAAAUAAUGAGAACGGGACAGCUAAUUCCGCCCCCGUUAUGCUACAUCGGACAAGUCGUGCACGAACUCAAGUCUCACGAAGUUUUAGCCUUACUGAAGGAUGUUUGGAGCUAUAUGAAAAUGAACAUCCCCGUCCCCACGAUAUUCAUCAGGAAGGACGCAAAGUCAAAUAGAUUUAUAAGAAAUCCCGAAUUUUCAAAGGUGGACGUUAUUUACACGGAAAAACUUAGAUUAGCUAUUUUAAACAAUAUUGAUCGGUUGGGUUACCUUUACCCGAAAUUAUUUCCUGUCCAGCAGACAGUGAAGGUUGAAGUAUAAAAAAUGAGUUAGUCUCGACAUCGCCAGCGGUAGGAAAGGAAAAUCGACCUGCUGAAAAUUAUCCGAGUUUUUUGAGGUGGUGCAAAAUUCUGCACAGUUUUUCUGCAAAUUAACGUUUAAAUUUAGGUUUAAAUUUAGGUGAUGAUUCAUCAGGUCCUACGUUAAAUUUUCCCAUGUAUUUUUAAGCAGAAUUUACCAAAAACGUGCACAGAUUUCUGGGCCAAUUUUAGGCAGAUCGAUUUUCAUAUUUUAGCCUUGACGAUGACUCUGGACUCGACAAAGACUGAUAAAUGUUGGUAUUUUUUCUUAGAUGAGGCCAUAGUUACUAUAUGGAAAAAAAUCAUCUAAGUAAGCAUUCACUACAGGUUUGAAAAGCUUAAUUUUUUCAGAUCUCCGUUAAUUUCCAACCGAUUUUAAUGAAAUUUUGCCCAGAGUUAAUUGCGGCUACCUCGAGUAGAGCCCUGAUUUGGCCGCCUAAAGCAUCCAACGGUUUAUGAGAUAUUCAAUAGAAACCCAACCAAUAGUGUGUUUUUUGGAGAUUUGAAAAAAUUUAAGGCAUGUAUGAAAAAAGUACACGGAUAAAAAGUUGAUACAUAUUUUUUAUAAAAAUACAAAAUUAAAAUAGACAAAAUCGGUUUAAAAGCGAGAAAGUUUUGAUGGUGGUGAAAUGUAACCACUCCCACCACCGCCCAAAGUUGAGUUGCUAAGGUCGACCCAGCGACUUCUCAAUUCAGAACCCUUUAGGUGAUGCUUGGGUCUCUUAAAAAGUAGGUCAUUAGUAAUAUGGUUGGUGGUCACAUAAAUUACUGUUCAAUACAAAUAAAAACUAAUAAAUAAAAGAAACCCAAAAAAGGACAGCUUAGAUGAGACUAAGUGCGAUAAAAAGUAUUUAAUAAAUUUCUUCUUCAGUGAAGGGCACAGAAUUUUAAUAUUUCCAGCAUCAGCGCCCCAUUUCAUUCAGUACUAUGUACCAUGAUAUAAUAGUAUAGUUCUGUGCCAUGUACAUACAAGUAUACAAUAAGUAUCAAAUUUGAAAUAUUAAAAUCAUUUGUGAAUUUUUCUUGUCACUAAAAAAUUAUGAAUGCUUACAAAUAUACUGAAAGUUGAUACAUGAUAUACAGGUGUAGCCUAACAUGGUCGACUUUUAAUAAUAUGUACAUAUAUGCAUACAUGUUGCUUAUGUACAGACAUUUGAGUAAAUUCUUAAAUGAAAUGGGGGCGCUGAUGCUGGAAAUAUUAAAAUUCUAUGUCCUUCACUGGAGAAGAAAUUUAUUAAAUACUUUUUAUCGCACUGAGUCUCAUCUAAGCUGUCCUUUUUUGGGUUUCUUU